RNAcentral lists this unclassified non-coding RNA (253 nucleotides) under uncultured Parcubacteria group bacterium. RNAcentral's name for it is "contains 16S-23S intergenic spacer region". It matches the Rfam family "Bacterial small subunit ribosomal RNA", at positions 524 to 776 of the family's 1533-position model. The record is from RNAcentral.
UACAGAGGCCUCAAGCGUUACCCGGAUUUACUGGGCGUAAAGGGUGUGUAGGUGGUUGUGUUAGUCGUCUGUUAAACACCGGGGCUUAACCUCGGGACUGCGGGCGAAACGGCACGACUAGAGGGUGCGAGGGGUGAAUGGAACUCAUGGUGUAGGGGUGAAAUCCGUUGAUAUCAUGGGGAACACCGAAAGCGAAGGCAAUUCACUGGCGCAUUCCUGACACUGAGACACGAAAGCGUGGGUAGCGAAUGGG